CAAAGUAGAAUCUGCUUGUUUCCGAGGAUCAGCGAGAAGGCACAUGUGAAGCUCACCCCGGUUCUGUCUGUUUCUGCUCUCCUACGAAGACCCCAUAUGGAGCCAGUGACAACCGGGGCCCGUGGGGAAGGCAGGACGAGGACUGGGCCACGCUGCUCAGCACAGGGUCAGCUGGCUGGACUAGGGUGGGCUGGCCAGGCGCGGAGUGGGCUGGUCAGGCGUGGGCUGGGCUGGUCAGGUGUGGGCUGGGCUGGUCAGGUGUGAGGUGGGGUGGUGAGGUGAGGGGUUGUCUGGUCAGGUGUGGAGUGGGCUGGUCAGGUGUGGGCUGGGCUGGUCAGGUGUGGGGUCGGCUGGUCAGGUGUGGGCUGGGCUGGGCUGGUCAGGUGUGGGCUGGGCUGGUCAGGUGUGGAGUGGGGUGGUGAGGUGAGGGGUUGUCUGGUCAGGUGUGGAGUGGGCUGGUCAGGUGUGGGCUGGGCUGGUCAGGUGUGGGGUCGGCUGGUCAGGUGUGGGCUGGGCUAGGCUGGUCAGGUGUGGGGUCGGCUGGUCAGGUGUGGGCUGGGCUGGUCAGGUGUGGGGUGGGCUGGUCAGGUGUGGGACGGGCUGGUCAGGUGUGGGACAGGCUGGUCAGGUGUGGGCUGGGCUGGUCAGGUAUGGGCUGGGCUGGUCAGGUGUGCGGUGGGCUGGGCUGGUCAGGUGUGCGGUGAGCUGGGCUGGUCAGGUGUGGGGUGGGCUGGUCAGGCGUGGGCUGGGCUGGG
RNAcentral lists this long non-coding RNA (755 nucleotides) under Homo sapiens (human). Its description in RNAcentral is "non-protein coding lnc-MIB2-1:8". The record is from RNAcentral. Lineage: Eukaryota; Metazoa; Chordata; Mammalia; Primates; Hominidae.